UGGCGAACGGGUGAGUAACACGUGGGUGAUCUGCCCUGCACUUCGGGAUAAGCCUGGGAAACUGGGUCUAAUACCGGAUAGGACGAUGGUUUGGAUGCCAUUGUGGAAAGUUUUUCGGUGUGGGAUGAGCUCGCGGCCUAUCAGCUUGUUGGUGGGGUAAUGGCCUACCAAGGCGUCGACGUGUAGCCGGCCUGAGAGGGUGUACGGCCACAUUGGGACUGAGAUACGGCCCAG
RNAcentral lists this ribosomal RNA (234 nucleotides) under uncultured Actinomycetales bacterium. RNAcentral's name for it is "partial 16S ribosomal RNA". It matches the Rfam family "Bacterial small subunit ribosomal RNA", at positions 96 to 334 of the family's 1533-position model. The record is from RNAcentral. Lineage: Bacteria; Bacillati; Actinomycetota; Actinomycetes; Actinomycetales.